AUGAACGCUGGCGGCGUGCCUAAUACAUGCAAGUCGAGCGAACAGACGAGGAGCUUGCUUCUCUGACGUUAGCGGCGGACGGGUGAGUAACACGUGGAUAACCUACCUAUAAGACUGGGAUAACUUCGGGAAACCGGAGCUAAUACCGGAUAAUAUAUUGAACCGCAUGGUUCAAUAGUGAAAGACGGUUUUGCUGUCACUUAUAGAUGGAUCCGCGCCGCAUUAGCUAGUUGGUAAGGUAACGGCUUACCAAGGCAACGAUGCGUAGCCGACCUGAGAGGGUGAUCGGCCACAUUGGAACUGAGACACGGUCCAGACUCCUACGGGAGGCAGCAGUAGGGAAUCUUCCGCAAUGGGCGAAAGCCUGACGGAGCAACGCCGCGUGAGUGAUGAAGGUCUUCGGAUCGUAAAACUCUGUUAUUAGGGAAGAACAAAUGUGUAAGUAACUAUGCACGUCUUGACGGUACCUAAUCAGAAAGCCACGGCUAACUACGUG
RNAcentral lists this ribosomal RNA (496 nucleotides) under uncultured bacterium. Its description in RNAcentral is "partial 16S ribosomal RNA". It matches the Rfam family "Bacterial small subunit ribosomal RNA", at positions 29 to 507 of the family's 1533-position model. The record is from RNAcentral.